This 253-nucleotide ribosomal RNA is filed under the name uncultured bacterium. RNAcentral's name for it is "partial 16S ribosomal RNA". It matches the Rfam family "Bacterial small subunit ribosomal RNA", at positions 524 to 776 of the family's 1533-position model. The record is from RNAcentral.
UACAGAGGUGGCAAGCGUUGUUCGGAAUUACUGGGCGUAAAGGGCGCGUAGGCGGCUUGGUCAGUCCCGUGUGAAAUCCCUCGGCUCAACUGAGGAACUGCACGGGAAACUGCCUGGCUUGAGUUCGGGAGAGGGAAGCGGAAUUCCGGGUGUAGCGGUGAAAUGCGUAGAUAUCAGGAAGAACACCCGUGGCGAAAGCGGCUCUCUAGAACGGUACUGACGCUGAGACGCGAAAGCGUGGGGAGCGAACAGG